UACGAAGGGGGCUAGCGUUGCUCGGAAUCACUGGGCGUAAAGGGGUGCGUAGGCGGGUCUUUUAAGUCAGGGGUGAAAUCCUGGAGCUCAACUCCAGAACUGCCUUUGAUACUGAGGAUCUUGAGUUCGGGAGAGGUGAGUGGAACUGCGAGUGUAGAGGUGAAAUUCGUAGAUAUUCGCAAGAACACCAGUGGCGAAGGCGGCUCACUGGCCCGAGUACUGACGCUGAGGCACGAAAGCGUGGGGAGCAAACAGG
RNAcentral lists this ribosomal RNA (256 nucleotides) under uncultured bacterium. Its description in RNAcentral is "partial 16S ribosomal RNA". It matches the Rfam family "Bacterial small subunit ribosomal RNA", at positions 524 to 776 of the family's 1533-position model. The record is from RNAcentral.